This 604-nucleotide unclassified non-coding RNA is filed under the name Yarrowia lipolytica. Lineage: Eukaryota; Fungi; Ascomycota; Dipodascomycetes; Dipodascales. The record is from RNAcentral.
AGAUACUGCGCUGAUACCCAAAGGAGAUGUGAGGGAUUGGCCGGUUGGUAAGGUGAUGGUGUUGGUUGUGGUUGUGGUGGUGCUGAGGAGGUUGGUGUACUCAGUGGCUUAUGUCGGCGGAUUAUGUCAGCAGAUUAUGUCAGCAGAUUAUGUCAGCCGAUCAUGUCGGCGGAUUAUGUCUGUGACUUAUGUCAGCCGAUUAUGUCAGCGUGUAUGUCAGUGGCUUACGUCAUUUGUUCAUGUGAGCUUACAUCAUUGCUCAUGCUGUGCACCGCAUCGCACCACAUCACAUGACUGACGUCACAUGACUAACAGCUCUGAAGCGUCAUGUCGCAAUGUGUGGAUGUCCAUGUGCCCACCACAUUGCUUCUGUGGUGACCACGUCACCUCCGUGGUGACCUCCGUGGUGACCACCGUGGUCAUGUCAUGUCGUGCGUGCUGUGGCUGUGGCUGUCAUUUGUCACGUCACAACAUCCACGUUGCACCGAUCCCAUCACCCUUGCUCCCCCACCUUCCUCUAGCUGCAAUCGAUCCGUUUGUUACCCUCCUUUAGAUCAUUUUAGUACAUGACUCGGUUCGCUGGUCUGAACUCUAUUGGGACAUU